UUGAGAUAAUUAACUGUCUUAAAAGCAGCUGGAGAGUGCAAUGGUUGCAAACAGCAGCCUCCUUGGUAGUGUAUGUAGCCUAUUGUCUAUAUGAGUUACCUCAAGGGAACUUGGAAACAGUU
Small nucleolar RNA from Rattus norvegicus (Norway rat), 122 nucleotides. Ensembl annotates it as small nucleolar RNA SNORA70. NCBI's taxonomy places the organism in Eukaryota, Metazoa, Chordata, Mammalia, Rodentia, Muridae. The record is from Ensembl.